Molecule: ribosomal RNA, 253 nt
Filed under: uncultured bacterium
Lineage: Bacteria
Description: partial 16S ribosomal RNA
Rfam family: Bacterial small subunit ribosomal RNA
Source: RNAcentral
UACGUAGGGGGCAAGCGUUGUCCGGAAUUAUUGGGCGUAAAGAGCGCGUAGGCGGACCUGCAAGUCGGGGGUGAAAGCCCGAGGCUCAACCUCGGAACUGCCUUCGAUACUGCGGGUCUCGAGUCCGGGAGAGGUGAGUGGAAUUCCUAGUGUAGAGGUGAAAUUCGUAGAUAUUAGGAAGAACACCAGUGGCGAAGGCGGCUCACUGGCCCGGUACUGACGCUGAGGCGCGAAAGCGUGGGGAGCAAACAGG